AUUGGGAAAAGCUAGAACACUGAUGAUUAGAAAGAAGAAAAUCACAGAGAGGAUACCCCUCCAAAUAUUUUCCUCUGGGACAGAAUCAUCCCUGGUGAAGGCGAAGGCCAUGAGGCUGAGGAUGGUGAAGCUGAGGAGGGUGAUGGUGUGCGGCCGGUAGAAGAACUCCAGCGUGAUGUCCUCCACCUGCUGCUCGUUGAUCAUGCGGAAAUGCAGGCGGUAGUUCACGUCGUCUUUGCUCAGGGUCCGGCUCCCCACGCACGCCGCCAUCUCGACCCCUUCCCCUCGGCCCUACUCGCCCGAGCCCGGCGACGCCGCCACCGAGGGGAGAACCGCCGCGCCCGCCGCGCCGAGGGGCGGACCCAGCGCUGCCGCUCACCCACGCGACGGGAGAAGGCGGGGGGGGGUAGGCGGAGCAGAACCGCCUCCUCGUGGAAGCGG
Molecule: long non-coding RNA, 441 nt
Filed under: Gallus gallus (chicken)
Lineage: Eukaryota; Metazoa; Chordata; Aves; Galliformes; Phasianidae
Source: RNAcentral